CAUAAUGCUUGGGGGUGCCCUUUGGGCUGAGAUCAUACCCUUUUCACCUGAUCAGGAUAAUGCCUGCGAAGGGAAAGCGAAUCUCGUUUAA
This 91-nucleotide non-coding RNA is filed under the name Bacteroidota bacterium. RNAcentral's name for it is "Bacteroidetes bacterium TPP sequence". It matches the Rfam family "TPP riboswitch aptamer (THI element)". From Rfam's summary of the family: Vitamin B(1) in its active form thiamin pyrophosphate (TPP) is an essential coenzyme that is synthesised by coupling of pyrimidine and thiazole moieties in bacteria. The previously detected thiamin-regulatory element, thi box was extended, resulting in a new, highly conserved RNA secondary structure, the THI element, which is widely distributed in eubacteria and also occurs in some archaea. Lineage: Bacteria; Pseudomonadati; Bacteroidota. The record is from RNAcentral.